This is a long non-coding RNA of Cynoglossus semilaevis (tongue sole), 3616 nucleotides long. RefSeq lists it as uncharacterized. The transcript has 2 exons. The record is from RefSeq and is a predicted model, not a curated record. Lineage: Eukaryota; Metazoa; Chordata; Actinopteri; Pleuronectiformes; Cynoglossidae.
CCCCAAUUUCCUCUUUUAAUAAUCACUAGUAAAAACAACAUGAAUAAAUAUUAAACAUUAUUUCUUCAUAUCAUAUAAUCCAGCGGCCAAUUAGCCUGCUGUGUGGUCAAAGAACUAUUACCAACAGAGCCUCGUCUGCCCGGGCGACCACUUCCUGCCAUGGCUGUCCUGCUCUCUGCUGCUCCUACUCUGCAGGUCCUGACACAUCCAAGCCCAGCCAUCGAUCACUACGUGGUAGUGAGUACAUUUCCCAGCAUAACCGUAGUACAGACGAAGGGCCUGUGAGAAAGCCUCUUAGAGGACAAGUAAGUGAGCAUCAUAAUCUCCUCUAUAUCUGCUCUGCAACUUCACCCAAUUCUAAUCCACAAUCUAAUCCUACAAGUGAGUCUGCAACACAGAACACAUGUCUGCAUGUGCUUCUACACACACACGCACAGACAGACGAAGUCACCAGCAUCAAUUCAUAAUGAGUUAUGAAAACGUUUAACUCUCUCUCACACAGAGACACAUGAGAACAUAUUGUAAUGGCCAACAUCAUGCAAAGCUCCAUCAUGCAGCAUGCAGCUCCUUCUCAGACCCAGCUGUCUAGACAACAAGCUUGCAGUUGUUUACGUACAUGCAGUGUUGGUGUACGCGUGUAUUCAGACAUGCUGUGUCCAUACGUCCAAUGAGAGGGUUAAGUCCUACAGCAUUCAUCACUCCAGGCCCAGAGGAGCUACAGGUUCUUCACAGUCCACAGCUGUUCCACUCAAUCUAAACCCACAAGCAGAGACUUUCAGUGACUAGAUAAUGUAGCUCAUGAGGGCCGGGGGUUGGGAAGCAGCUGCUCCUACCCGCCGCCUAGGGCAUGGCCACAUGCACCUCGGGACUCACAAACUGGGGCGUCAUCCAGUCUAAAUUUGAGCAAACUCACUUUUAUCAAACCUGUCUCUGUGGCGGGCGUGCAUGGUUGCACCAUCGCCUUGGUCUGGUUCCUGAAGAUCAGAAGUCUCCUGCCUAAUGGUGGCCAACACUAACUGCUCUGUGGGCACCAAAGAGGCCGCGGCGGGAGAAAACAACACAAGACAACAAGUCAUUUUACACAUAGCACACACGGCUAAAUGUCAAAAGAUGCACUGAAAAUGUAUCUGUGGGACUCAAGCAUUGACAACGUAAUGACAGUCAUGCCUGCAGAAAUGAAGAUCUGACUUCUACACGCAGACUGACCAAAAGGUUAGUGGCUUGCCCUGGAGUGCCCUCAAGUGUCAAACUUGGGUAACUGCAACACUGCUUCAAUUCGGCGUCUCUCUAUCUCAGUACAUGCAUCUACGGUAGUUUGGCAGCCAUGACAACGUGUCAUUAUCUUCCCUAAACAUAUGCCAGUGACGACAGUUGGCAGUUGCUGCACGUACUGUUUUAAACUGAGAUAAUACCACAGUCAUGAGACGUUGAUUUCCAUAGGGGAUCCUUACAAAAACUAUGUUGCAGCACGUUUCACCUUAAAAUGUUCAAUAGCCUUCGGGAAAUCACCAUUUUAGAUACAUUUACAUUUACUAAGUGGCUUAAUAACCACUUAAACCAAUGCACCUUUACACACCACAUCAAGGUGAUAAUAAAUUAUUUUUAAAAUAGAGAACUUGGUUUCUCUGGUACUUUUUCAGGUUAAUUAUUGCCAUUUAUUGCUACAGCUAACAUUAAGUACUGAAGGUUUCGUUCAACUGCACAAUAAAUAGAUUUUUUUGACAGGCCUUCUUAUAGCCCCCACGGUGCAUCCUGAAUGUGUUGGAGUAAAUGUGACAGAUUGGUGGAGACAUACGUCAUCAUCCGGGAUGUGAGGGCUUACUAAUUGGAGCAAGGAAUCAAGAGGUCAGGGUUUGGGAGAUUACAGGCAAGUCCACAUGGAGAAUCCGCUUGGUAUAGAAUACGUACCGAAGGAUGCUCAAACUGGAGGUGCAUCCUUCUAUUUUUAUUCUGUGCUUUAAAUAUGACCACAAAAAAAGAAAGAUAUUUGAUAUUAAGAAGAGGGUGAUGGUAAGUGAUGUUCUGGCACAUGACUGAGUCACGACCACAGAAAUCCAGAACGACAAACUGCUGUCAACAUCACAUAAAUGCUGAACGCUAACGUGCUCUUCAUCACCAUACUGUGAAAAAAUCUAUUUUGCUGCUGCUUUUUAACUUUUGACCUUUCAUCUGACACAAACAGGACAGGACACACCUCUGCGUGAAAAGGUCAAUCAGUUUAAUCGAGUUAAAAAUCAAACAACUAUCUGGGAAAGCUCUAGUCCAAAGAGAGCAUGACCAGUUGGCACUCACUUCUGCUUACAAGUUGUUUCUAUUUCUGGAAGCUCUAUGCAGCCAAACACACAUACAAACACACACACUCACGUGCACACCCACAACAACAAUGCAGGCAUGCAAUAUGUGCCAGACCCAUGAGGAGCCAUUUGCCUCUUCUAGGACUGCCCAAUCGGAUUUGCUCUGUGUAGGAUCCAGUUAAUCUUGCAACUGUUUCUUGUUGUAUUAUGGAUGAAUCUGUCAUUUAUAAUUAAAUGACCCAUCGAUUAAUGGGUCCAAAGGUGGUGUAAACUGUCAGUAUCAAUACAGUUUUGACAACAAAUAAAUGAUGCUCAGAUUUCUACUGGGGAAGCCAUGAAAACAUAUUCAAUAUUAAUUGUCAAAAUAAUUGUGAACUCUGAAUAUGAGACGAGUCGUGUUGUGCGUGUGAUCAGUGAUCAGUGAUCAUGUGAUCAUAUCUUGGCUGGAGGAAGUUGUUCUCUCGUGUCUUGGCAGGUAUUCUAAUGUAUUUUGACGUGAAAAAAAAUCUCAGCUAUAACUUCUAUCAAAAGGUUUUGACCAGUAUCCUGUGCUCUGGUUUUGCUCAUUAAAUAGAUCAUAAUAUUAUAAUUAUAAAUUCAUUGUGAAAAAAAUGGAAGCCCUCUGAAUAAAGCUAGUAACUUCUGAAAGCACCGGAGCAGUACUUUAAGAAAGACUUGAGUUUUCACAGUGCGACCAAUAAGAAUGUACCCACACUGUCUGUAUUGACAUAUGUACUACUACUGGGCCACGACCCGGUAUUUGGGAAACACAGCAUUAACAGUACAACUGUGGCGUCACAACAGCACGCUCCAUGUGAACGAGUGUCUCAACCAUGUUUUUUACAGGUCACCCAUGGCCGUGGGCAGCCUAUCAGGUGAUGAGGUCAGAGCUCUUAAGAGGGUCACGUGGUCACUAAGUCAGUGAAGAAAUAAAUAGACUAGGAUCUAAAAGAGCUUGACUUGACUUCGUUCGACAACAAAAGCUCCCAUUACAUAAUAAUAACCUAAUGUGAUCGAUGAUAAUACACCGGAAAGUGGUGAAGUAACUGGGUAUGAGACAGUGAGGAAUGUAAAACCAUUAUAUAACGGGAUAUAGAUGGAACAAAUUAGUGCUAAGCUCACACUUAAUGUGUUUAUAGCUUCAAUAUCCAAGUUACAUUCAUAAUUCCACUGAUGAUAUUUGAUAUAUAUGCGGUGUGUAGUCAACAGUAAAGGGCAGACGGACUGGAACAGACACCUGCAGUCUGCUUGUCCUUGCAUCACAAGGCAGUGCCAAAACAUGACUAAGACUGGAGGUUUAAAAAAAAAAAAAAAAAAAAAAA